Molecule: transfer RNA, 67 nt
Filed under: Azumapecten farreri
Lineage: Eukaryota; Metazoa; Mollusca; Bivalvia; Pectinida; Pectinidae
Description: tRNA-Ala
Source: RNAcentral
UGCUCCUUGGUGUAAAAAACAUUUCUGGUUUGCACUCAGAAGAUGGGAGUAAUUCUCUCAGGAGCAA